Molecule: non-coding RNA, 1852 nt
Organism: Oryctolagus cuniculus (rabbit)
Lineage: Eukaryota; Metazoa; Chordata; Mammalia; Lagomorpha; Leporidae
Source: RefSeq, a predicted model, not a curated record
CCUACAGAAUCACGAAGACUCGAUUUCCCGGCAAGCUUCACGGUGGGGGUGUGCGUGCCAUGGUAGCUUCCAGGGAGACGUAGUUCUGCCGCCUCCGUCGCCAGUUGUCACCGCAAGAGACGAACUCAGUUUCCCAGGUGGCUGUGCGGUAGCCAGUCUGAAGUCGAACUUCUGGAGAGUUUGAACCCAGCCGCCGGCAAUAGUAGCAGGCAUUGAUUUGGCACGGUGGGGCGCGUAUCCUGGAUCAGGGACGGUCUCCACCAAGAUUCGGCGCAUUCAGAUCCCACCUUGCCCCGGCCGGCCGCGGGGUAAUCAACUAGGACACGAGGAGGGCAGGCCUGAAUGGAGAGACAAACCAGACACAGAAGGGAGACCAAGACAAUAUUCUGAUCAAGGUCUCACUUUAUUGGAGAAGGAGAGCAACGGCACAAGACGCCAAGGGAGCCAGACUCCCGCCACCAGGAUAUGAGCCAGAGCUUGAGUUGGUCUGAGCAGCUUGAUGUGCUUCUCAAUGCAACUGAUAGAAAUGUGGCCCGGAUUAAGCAGCGGCUGUAUCCCCUUGAAGUCACCACUGCAGCAGGGGACCUGGCUGGGACCUGGAUUUCCCCUCUUCACUUGCCUCCCCAGUCAGAAGUGCUAGCUCGACACCCUUGGGCUCUGGAGACUCCCAGUGUCUCAGAGAGGAGGAGCUGCACUGGGACCUACCGUCCACCCUCUCUCUGGGAUGAAAUUACUCUUCUUCGAUCCCAGCUGCAGUCUCAGGCUCAGGUGACCGAAGCACUAAGGCAGUCUGUACAGGGUCUGCUGCAAGAGCGAGAACAGCAGAAAUACAAGAUCAGUGCCCUGGAAGCAUCACUGAAGUUGCUGCAGGGGGGGCCAGAAGACAGGACUCUUUCCCUGGACCAACGCUUGGAGAUACUGAGAAGGGACCUGCAGGGCCUUCGGAGCCAGGAGGGCAUUUUCUUCCUCACUCUGGGCUUGCUGACCGACUCUACGCUAACACUGCAGGCGGCAACUGUUGUGGGAGGAGUCAGAGAUUCUGCGGGAGGAACUGAAGUUACUGCGGGACCAGCUGACAUAAGGUCCUCAGGCAGGAAGGAAGAAGAAAAGAAGUCAGGGAGCAGCCACUUAAGUUUGCUCUCAUCUGUAGGCCAGCACCAGGAGCUGCUCCUGAAACAGGUAGCUGAGGGGCGGCAGGCUCAGGCCCGUAGCUGGAAGAUGUUGGAGCAGCUGCAAAGUGGCCACAAGGGUCACGCCCUGGAGGUUGCCAUGACAGAGGUCCAGGAUGCCCGGCGGGAGCACAACUUCCUCAGGACCUCUGAUGAUGUCCUUCAGUGUAAGCUGCCCUUUGCCACCACCUUCGCCAUGUCUCUUUCUUCAUAUAGCUCUGAAGUCAAUCUUCCAGGUGGUAAUGGUAGCUGGAAACUUUUAAAGAAGCUAGUUACGGGUAAAGGCAGGGAUCCCAGUUCUGGGGGAGGCUGACUCUGAAUGGGUGGAUGACAACUGGGUAGAAUGGAGUCUCUGCCUCCUUCUUUGUGAAUCUAUCAACCUCUGCUGCUGCUUCUUCCAAGUCAAGUUCUCCCAGGGAGCACCCUUCCUAACCUGGAGCCCAGCUGCUUUCAGCACCAUGGCCUGAGUCUUGAGCAAGAGGACCCAUUCCUUCAGGACCCUAAGAUGCUCCUGAGUGACCUGUAAGGAUUUAGAAGAGUAGUGGAAUGAAGCCUUCCAUGUCCACCCUCCCCUCCAAGACCCUGUUUCUGGGCCACCUCUAGCAGGUGCCUGCCUUUUCUAUUGGGGCUUUGCACUGUACUGCCUGUCUACUCCCCAGCUGCAAUAAAAUGGCUUACCCCUC